GUCCACGCCCUAAACGAUGUCAACUAGUUGUCGGGAGGGUAACCCUCUUGGUAACGCAGCUAACGCGUGAAGUUGACCGCCUGGGGAGUACGGUCGCAAGAUUAAAACUCAAAGGAAUUGACGGGGCCCGCACAAGCGGUGGAUUAUGUGGAUUAAUUCGAUGCAACGCGAAAACCUUACCUACCCUUGACAUGCUAGGAACUUGUGAGAGAUCACUUGGUGCUCGAAAGAGAACCUAGACACAGGUGCUGCAUGGCUGUCGU
RNAcentral lists this ribosomal RNA (263 nucleotides) under uncultured bacterium. RNAcentral describes it as "partial 16S ribosomal RNA". It matches the Rfam family "Bacterial small subunit ribosomal RNA", at positions 793 to 1055 of the family's 1533-position model. The record is from RNAcentral.